UGCUGGUGUUGUAUUAGUGGCGAACGGGUGAGUAACACGUGAGUAACCUGCCCCUGACUCUGGGAUAAGCGUUGGAAACGACGUCUAAUACUGGAUAUGAUCGCCGGCCGCAUGGUCUGGUGGUGGAAAGAUUUUUUGGUUGGGGAUGGACUCGCGGCCUAUCAGCUUGUUGGUGAGGUAAUGGCUCACCAAGGCGACGACGGGUAGCCGGCCUGAGAGGGUGACCGGCCACACUGGGACUGAGACACGGCCCAGACUCCUACGGGAGGCAGCAGUGGGGAAUAUUGCACAAUGGGCGAAAGCCUGAUGCAGCAACGCCGCGUGAGGGAUGACGGCCUUCGGGUUGUAAACCUCUUUUAGUAGGGAAGAAGCGAAAGUGACGGUACCUGCAGAAAAAGCACCGGCUAACUACGUGCCAGCAGCCGCGGUAAUACGUAGGGUGCAAGCGUUGUCCGGAAUUAUUGGGCGUAAAGAGCUCGUAGGCGGUUUGUCGCGUCUGCUGUGAAAUCCCGAGGCUCAACCUCGGGCUUGCAGUGGGUACGGGCAGACUAGAGUGCGGUAGGGGAGAUUGGAAUUCCUGGUGUAGCGGUGGAAUGCGCAGAUAUCAGGAGGAACACCGAUGGCGAAGGCAGAUCUCUGGGCCGUAACUGACGCUGAGGAGCGAAAGCAUGGGGAGCGAACAGGAUUAGAUACCCUGGUAGUCCAUGCCGUAAACGUUGGGCGCUAGAUGUAGGGACCUUUCCACGGUUUCUGUGUCGUAGCUAACGCAUUAA
RNAcentral lists this ribosomal RNA (773 nucleotides) under Curtobacterium flaccumfaciens. RNAcentral describes it as "bacterial SSU rRNA". It matches the Rfam family "Bacterial small subunit ribosomal RNA", at positions 79 to 863 of the family's 1533-position model. Lineage: Bacteria; Bacillati; Actinomycetota; Actinomycetes; Micrococcales; Microbacteriaceae. The record is from RNAcentral.